GAUGAACGCUAGCGGCAGGCCUAAUACAUGCAAGUCGAGGGGUAUGGGUUGCUUGCCACCCAGAGACCGGCGCACGGGUGUGUAACGCGUAUGCAAUCUACCUUAAUCAGGGGGAUAGCCCGGAGAAAUCCGGAUUAACACCGCAUAACAUUGAGUUGUGGCAUCACAGUUCAAUCAAAUAUUUAUAGGAUUAAGAUGAGCAUGCGUGACAUUAGUUAGUUGGUGAGGUAACGGCUCACCAAGACCACGAUGUCUAGGGGAUCUGAGAGGAUGACCCCCCACACUGGUACUGAGACACGGACCAGACUCCUACGGGAGGCAGCAGUAAGGAAUAUUGGUCAAUGGGCGCAAGCCUGAACCAGCCAUGCCGCGUGCAGGAAGACGGCCCUAUGGGUUGUAAACUGCUUUUGUACCGGAAUAAACCUUCUCUUGCGAGAGAAGCUGAACGUACGGUAAGAAUAAGGAUCGGCUAACUCCGUG
This 480-nucleotide ribosomal RNA is filed under the name uncultured bacterium. RNAcentral describes it as "partial 16S ribosomal RNA". It matches the Rfam family "Bacterial small subunit ribosomal RNA", at positions 28 to 507 of the family's 1533-position model. The record is from RNAcentral.